Long non-coding RNA from Oryza brachyantha (malo sina), 403 nucleotides. RefSeq lists it as uncharacterized. The transcript has 3 exons. The record is from RefSeq and is a predicted model, not a curated record. Lineage: Eukaryota; Viridiplantae; Streptophyta; Magnoliopsida; Poales; Poaceae.
ACAUGUCGACCAGAGCUUGGUACGUCCGACUUUUAUUGCCGGUUAUCAAAUUGAUCAUCCUGCUUGUAUUCGUGGUCGACCACAUGGAUUCUUGUGGCCUAAAAAAUCCCUGUAGUUCUGCCUGCCAGUUUUUGAAACCCGGUAACUGUCGCCGAUCGCCAUAAAUAAACCAUUUCCACUUUAUCUGGAACUUGGAAGAAUAUCGGACUAAACAAGAACAACCUCUAUAAGGCAGUAAAUCAAAACAUCGAUGGGAGAACCGUGUAUUAUAUUUUUGCAUAUAUGUAAAACUGGAAAUAUGUACCUGGAAUUAUAGAUGUUGUAAUAGUUUCACUACAUCAUGGACGAUAAUUUAGACAAACUAUUUAGCCUCGAAUGGAAAAUCAUUCUUAUUUUGGCUAUG